AUGUCAAUAGCAAUCGAUGCAGCAAGGGGGCUGUGUUACAUGCACCAUGGUUGCUCUCCUGCUAUAGCACACCGUGAUGUGAAGUCCAGCAACAUCCUACUGGAUCUUCAGUUCAGAGCAAAGGUUGCGGACUUUGGCCUAGCUCGCGCAUUGCUUAAAGCUGGUGAGCCAGAGUCGGCCUCGGCGGUGGUUGGGUCCUUCGGAUACAUAGCUCCAGAGUUUGGAAGCUCGAGAAAGAUGAAUGAGAAAGUUGAUGUGUACAGCUUUGGGGUGGUUCUCUUGGAGCUGGUAACAGGGAGGUAUGCAAAUGGUGGGGGCGGGUACGAGAAUUUGGCGCAAUGGGCAUGGAGGCAAUUUCAUCAAGAUGAGGACAUCCAUUUGACAAAUCUGAUAGAUCCAGAUGUUCGAGAUCCAGCCUACUCGCAUGAGGUACAACUGGUGUUGAAGCUAGGGCUAAUUUGCACGGGCACAAACCCAUCUUCAAGGCCGUCGAUGAAGCAGGUUCUGCAGGUCCUACAACGCUGA
Molecule: ribosomal RNA, 525 nt
Filed under: Triticum aestivum (bread wheat)
Lineage: Eukaryota; Viridiplantae; Streptophyta; Magnoliopsida; Poales; Poaceae
Description: partial small subunit ribosomal RNA
Source: RNAcentral